GACGAACCGUGCGAACGUUAUUCGGAAUCAUUGGGCUUAAAGGGCGCGUAGGCGGCGGUGUAAGUUGGAAGUGAAAUCCCAUCGGCUCAACCGUGGAAUUGCUCCCAGUACUGCAUCGCUCGAGGGGGAUAGGGGUUUGCGGAACUACCGGUGGAGCGGUGAAAUGUGUUGAUAUCGGUGGGAACGCCAGUGGCGAAAGCGGCAAACUUGACCCUUCCUGACGCUGAUGCGCGAAAGCUAGGGGAGCAAACGGG
Molecule: ribosomal RNA, 254 nt
Filed under: uncultured bacterium
Lineage: Bacteria
Description: partial 16S ribosomal RNA
Rfam family: Bacterial small subunit ribosomal RNA
Source: RNAcentral